This 301-nucleotide ribosomal RNA is filed under the name uncultured bacterium. RNAcentral's name for it is "partial 16S ribosomal RNA". It matches the Rfam family "Bacterial small subunit ribosomal RNA", at positions 509 to 807 of the family's 1533-position model. The record is from RNAcentral.
CAGUAGCCGCGGUAAUACGUAGGGUGCGAGCGUUAAUCGGAAUUACUGGGCGUAAAGCGUGCGCAGGCGGUUGUGUAAGACAGGUGUGAAAUCCCCGGGCUUAACCUGGGAACUGCGCUUGUGACUGCACAGCUAGAGUAUGGCAGAGGGGGGUGGAAUUCCACGUGUAGCAGUGAAAUGCGUAGAGAUGUGGAGGAACACCGAUGGCGAAGGCAGCCCCCUGGGCCAACACUGACGCUCAUGCACGAAAGCGUGGGGAGCAAACAGGAUUAGAUACCCGCGUAGUCCCUGUCUCUUAUAC